RNAcentral lists this unclassified non-coding RNA (375 nucleotides) under uncultured fungus. RNAcentral's name for it is "partial contains ITS1, 5.8S rRNA and ITS2". The record is from RNAcentral. Lineage: Eukaryota; Fungi.
AACGCACAUGGCGCUUCGUAUGAAGCAUGCUUGUUUCAGUGUCAUACCCCAUCACGCUGCCCCUCGGGGUGCCGUGGUCUAUGGGCCCCACGAGGUUUGCGCCUCGCGUCGCUUCAAGAACGGUCGCGAACAACCCGGUGAACGCUCCCGGCUCUCACUUGCCUCAACAGCUUGUGGGCGGCCCGAGAAGAAGCGCGGUGUGGUAGGUCCUCUCGGACACAACCCCUGUGACCUUCCCCUCGGUGCUCCGUAUGCCGGCGACGCGACUCCCGCGGACAAUCGCUAGGCACUCAUCCUGCCGAAUCGGCGCGCUCGCGCGCCAACCCCACUCAUACCUUUGACCUGAAACCAAGUAAGAGGACCCGCUGAAUUUAA